GUCAAGACUGCUAAACUUCUCAUGUGUUUUCCUUGGGAAACAGAUAAAAAAGUAUGUGUAUGGACAAAUCCACCAAAGAAUGAGAUACUAAAAGUUUGUAAAAAGGUGGAAAUGCCUUUUAAGUGGUAUGAGAUGCUACACUCAUUAACAGAGCUACAUAUCCAGAUUCCUCAAGGAUUAUACAGUGAUGAAUGUUUAACAUACAAUAGUGAAGCACAUCUAGUCUACUUUCUUGGCUCAACAAAAAAAUACAGACAAAAAACAAAAAUUCUACAAUGCAUGUGCUAGUGCUGAAAGUGGCUAUCAACAAGUGAUACACAAAUCUGACCUUGAGAAAAUUGGAAACUCAGGCCUUAAAAUGCAAGUUAUAUCUGAUAUAAAAGGAGUCAUCAAUGAAGGCAGUGAGAGAAUUCAAAAUUAUGAUGAAAUAAGAAAAUCUGCAAUCAUUUCACCUAAAGAAGGUAUACAAUGGGAAACAGAAGAAGCAAUUUUGAUACUAUUGGAUCAGCGUGGUUCUGGUUCUAUGGGAAAUGUAGUUUUCAAAGAAAUUGGGAAUAUGAAGAGGAUUGAUGCUGCUAAACAAUUGUUCAACAGUUUUGCAACACGUACACAAGCAUAUAAGCUGCACCAUGCACUAGGACUAACUAUAUUUGGGUCAGAAGUCACUGUUAAACUAAAAAUCACAAAGAAAUUCAACACUGAAGAAUUUGAGACUACUCUGAAUGACAUUAAGAUAAGAGGUUCAACAGAAU
Molecule: long non-coding RNA, 752 nt
Organism: Amphimedon queenslandica
Lineage: Eukaryota; Metazoa; Porifera; Demospongiae; Haplosclerida; Niphatidae
Exons: 8
Source: RefSeq, a predicted model, not a curated record